GGGGAUGUAGCUCAAUGGCAGAGCACUUGCUUAACAUGCAUGAGGUCCUGUCCUCA
Molecule: transfer RNA, 56 nt
Filed under: Ictidomys tridecemlineatus (thirteen-lined ground squirrel)
Lineage: Eukaryota; Metazoa; Chordata; Mammalia; Rodentia; Sciuridae
Description: Spermophilus tridecemlineatus (thirteen-lined ground squirrel) tRNA
Source: Rfam by way of RNAcentral